This 21-nucleotide microRNA is filed under the name Cabomba aquatica. RNAcentral describes it as "miR164". Lineage: Eukaryota; Viridiplantae; Streptophyta; Magnoliopsida; Nymphaeales; Cabombaceae. The record is from RNAcentral.
UGGAGAAGCAGGGCACGUGCC